RNAcentral lists this ribosomal RNA (491 nucleotides) under uncultured bacterium. RNAcentral describes it as "partial 16S ribosomal RNA". It matches the Rfam family "Bacterial small subunit ribosomal RNA", at positions 29 to 507 of the family's 1533-position model. The record is from RNAcentral.
GUGAACGCUGGCGAUAGGCCUAACACAUGCAAGUCGAACGGCAGCACAGUAAGAGCUUGCUCUUACGGGUGGCGAGUGGCGGACGGGUGAGGAAUACAUCGGAAUCUACUUUUUCGUGGGGGAUAACGUAGGGAAACUUACGCUAAUACCGCAUACGACCUACGGGUGAAAGCAGGGGAUCUUCGGACCUUGCGCGAUUGAAUGAGCCGAUGUCGGAUUAGCUAGUUGGCGGGGUAAAGGCCCACCAAGGCGACGAUCCGUAGCUGGUCUGAGAGGAUGAUCAGCCACACUGGAACUGAGACACGGUCCAGACUCCUACGGGAGGCAGCAGUGGGGAAUAUUGGACAAUGGGCGCAAGCCUGAUCCAGCCAUACCGCGUGGGUGAAGAAGGCCUUCGGGUUGUAAAGCCCUUUUGUUGGGAAAGAAAAGCAGCAGGUUAAUACCCCGCUGUUCUGGCGGUACCCAAAGAAUAAGCACCGGCUAACUUCGUG